GUUCCUACCCGCGCAAACGAUUAUGGAACUCCUUGUUCAUCUUGUUCCGGCAUCUCUGCGAUGGCGCUUCCGAAUCAAAACCCGACGAUCGGUCUAUUUCGUUGCCGGAAUCUGAAUCGCAGCGCUCAGUUCUGGUCUACGAUAUAUCACAACAGGCCCAAGUUGCUAUGGAGAACAUGCUUAGAAUGAACAGUGAAAUUGAUCGAAACACUGCUGGAAUAUUUGAAGACAUGGAAAAGUGCAGGCGUUCUGCUCUCGAGAGUCCUAGAGGAAGAGAAACAACAAUUUCAACAAGCUGUUUACACUGUUUUAGACAUGCUCAACAACGGAUGGGGAACGUUGUAAGAUUUCUCUCAAAGUUUCUGCACAUUUCAGCCAAUACGUACCCCUUUUAUGUAUGUACACCGUGACUCAUCACUUUUUUCUUGAUAGUCGAAGACCGCAUGUCAUCAUUUAGGCCUUGUGUUACGUAAACCAAGCAGAUAUGAUUUUUGUCUUCAAACAAAGAAUAAAUGAUCACCCUCUCUUAAAACA
Cucurbita maxima (winter squash) is the source of this 534-nucleotide long non-coding RNA. RefSeq lists it as uncharacterized. The transcript has 3 exons. The record is from RefSeq and is a predicted model, not a curated record. NCBI's taxonomy places the organism in Eukaryota, Viridiplantae, Streptophyta, Magnoliopsida, Cucurbitales, Cucurbitaceae.